Long non-coding RNA from Chiloscyllium plagiosum (whitespotted bambooshark), 1367 nucleotides. RefSeq lists it as uncharacterized. NCBI's taxonomy places the organism in Eukaryota, Metazoa, Chordata, Chondrichthyes, Orectolobiformes, Hemiscylliidae. The record is from RefSeq and is a predicted model, not a curated record.
UGUCACAGGUUAAAAAACAUAAGGACAUUUCUCUUGGGGGAUGGAUGCUUCUGGCUAUAGGCCAGUACGGGGACCCAUGGCUAAUUGAACACAUUAAUGUGAUCUGUGAGGAAGCGGCUUUCCAAACAAAGGGGAAAUCGAGGGCUGGAAACUCUGCAGGUCUGGUUUCAAGGCUCACCUGUUCCAAAGGUGUAAAGUAACACUUCCGAAUAGGUUGAUUGAACAUAAAGUACUGCAGCUGCUGAAAAUCUGAAAUUUAGAAGCAAAUUAAGUGCUGGAGGUCUGUUUCCAAGAAAUAUUAACUCAACUUCUCUCUCCACGGAUACUGCCAAGCUUGAGUAAAAAUGUAUGGCUCUUUCUGUCUCUCCCUAAAAAGCUGUUCAGGUGGAUUGAAGCCUACCCUACUACUAACACUACUGCUGAGGCUGUGGUGAAGAUUUUGCUUAAGGAAAGAUACUUGAACUAAAAGGAGAGACGUGUGGGGGAUCGCCUACUUACUGACCUGUUUGAUCAUAUAUGACAUCCUGAUGGAGAAAGCCAUUAAGUAUUAAUGUGAUCUGGAACAGUUCAAGACUAUUCACCACCUAUGCCGAGGAGAUGUCAUCCAGUGCACCGGACCAGACUGCUUCGACGUGUAGGGCAUGACAAAGAGUGAUUAUUGCAAUGGACUUUUACAUCUGAAAGACUGUAUGGUCCAUCUGGACAGUAAAAAUCUGUGGAAAUUACCAUGUCGUACCAAACCUGUCUUUUUGAUUUUACCUGCAGACGUAAGCCUAGUGAGGAUAGAAAUGAUCAACCCCGUUACUAUGGUAAAUGUUUUAAGGAGGCUGGGAGCACUAUCCCUUUUUGCAGGAGGGGCCUACUCGAGAAAAGAGAAGCCUGAUGGGGAAACUCCUCAAUCCACAAACAACUUAUUUAUAUCGGCCCACUGGACUCUCUUCACCCCAGAGUCAGUAUUAUGUUGCUCCUCUCUAUCAGUAGAUUACUUACUUACCCCAUCCCCAAUCUGUUCAGCAGACGCUCUACUGCCAAUCCUCCGAAGAGCAAUAUCACUUUCCAAUACCGUAUUAGUCCUCCUGCCACCUGUUUGCGGACUUCUUUUAACUCAACUGCAGGAUUGUAUGAGAAUUUUUCUUAAUGGAACUGGCUAUGGGUGUGCAAUUGUUCAUUUUCCACAUAAUAUCUCCUGCCUACUUGAGACUUAUCGUGUAAGACAAUGGGGCCUUAUACCUCCUGCCCGGGUGUACAAACAGCUUGCAUUCCACUGGCUGGAAGACAACAGGCCCUAUGCAGCAUAAGUAACUACAGGUAUACCCAUCUCCACGUACAGACCCGGAAUGGAACUCUUCCCUACUGCGUUCAAAGUU